RNAcentral lists this ribosomal RNA (506 nucleotides) under uncultured bacterium. RNAcentral's name for it is "bacterial SSU rRNA". It matches the Rfam family "Bacterial small subunit ribosomal RNA", at positions 28 to 529 of the family's 1533-position model. The record is from RNAcentral.
GAUGAACGCUGGUGGCGUGCUUAACACAUGCAAGUCGAACGGGAAUGCCACGCUGAUGCGAUUUCGGUCAAAUCAUGUGGCAUUCGAGUGGCGGACGGGUGAGUAACGCGUGGGUAACCUGCCUUACACAGGGGGAUAACACCUGGAAACAGGUGCUAAUACCGCAUAAGCGCACAGGGCCGCAUGGCCCGGUGUGAAAAACUCCGGUGGUGUAAGAUGGACCCGCGUCUGAUUAGCUUGUUGGCGGGGUAGGGGCCCACCAAGGCGACGAUCAGUAGCCGGCCUGAGAGGGUGGACGGCCACAUUGGGACUGAGACACGGCCCAAACUCCUACGGGAGGCAGCAGUGGGGGAUAUUGGACAAUGGGGGAAACCCUGAUCCAGCGACGCCGCGUGAGUGAAGAAGUAUUUCGGUAUGUAAAGCUCUGUCAGCAGGGAAGAAAGAAAUGACGGUACCUGACCAAGAAGCCCCGGCUAACUACGUGCCAGCAGCCGCGGUAAUACGUA